Molecule: ribosomal RNA, 497 nt
Filed under: uncultured bacterium
Lineage: Bacteria
Description: partial 16S ribosomal RNA
Rfam family: Bacterial small subunit ribosomal RNA
Source: RNAcentral
GAUGAACGCUGGCGGCGUGCCUAAUACAUGCAAGUCGAGCGAACAGACGAGGAGCUUGCUCCUCUGACGUUAGCGGCGGACGGGUGAGUAACACGUGGAUACCCUACCUAUAAGACUGGGAUAACUUCGGGAAACCGGAGCUAAUACCGGAUAAUAUAUUGAACCGCAUGGUUCAAUAGUGAAAGACGGUUUUGCUGUCACUUAUAGAUGGAUCCGCGCCGCAUUAGCUAGUUGGUAAGGUAACGGCUUACCAAGGCGACGAUGCGUAGCCGACCUGAGAGGGUGAUCGGCCACACUGGAACUGAGACACGGUCCAGACUCCUACGGGAGGCAGCAGUAGGGAAUCUUCCGCAAUGGGCGAAAGCCUGACGGAGCAACGCCGCGUGAGUGAUGAAGGUCUUCGGAUCGUAAAACUCUGCUAUUAGGGAAGAACAAAUGUGUAAGUAACUAUGCACGUCUUGACGGUACCUAAUCAGAAAGCCACGGCUAACUACGUG